This is a non-coding RNA of Phoenix dactylifera (date palm), 256 nucleotides long. The record is from RefSeq and is a predicted model, not a curated record. NCBI's taxonomy places the organism in Eukaryota, Viridiplantae, Streptophyta, Magnoliopsida, Arecales, Arecaceae.
UACCCAGUGCUCGAUACUGUUGUUGCACAUUUUCUGAGGUUCCUUAAGGAUGAAAGAAUCAUGCCUGUGAUAUGGCACCAAUCACUUCUUGCAUUUGUCCAAAGGUAUAAGAAUGAACUGGAGAAGAAGGACAAGGAUAAUUUUGUUCGUCUAGUUCAAUACCAGAAACAUCAUUUGGUUACUCCCGAAAUCCAUAGAGAGCUUAAAAAUAGCCGAAAUCGUGGUGAAAAGGAGGACGAUAUCAUGUCAAUAUAUA